AGCGGGACAGACGGACGAACGGACGCACAGACCAGAAAACAUAAUGCCCCUCUACUAUCGUAGGUGGGGCAUAAAAACUAACUUUAGAUUAGACACAUUUGUUUUAAUUACAAAUCCUACCCAUUAUUUAUAAUACAAACAAAUAUAGAAAUGUAAUGUUUUUAAAUUUAAUGGUUUAAGUCUUCGAAUAAACAUGAUGAAGAAACCAAAACCAAACAAACAAACAAGUUUAACCAAAAAAUGUGACCGUGGCUGUUUCGGUUCUUAUGCAUCCUUGGCUCUCAAACAUUAGGCUUUGAGCAUUCUUUCUGCCCCUUUCAUAUAGCUCUUCAACUGUUUCGGUUCUUAUGCAUCCUUGACUCUCAAACAUUAGGCUUUGAGCAUUCUUAAUGAAGAUAAACCUAGAAAAGCGCUUCGGAUGCAUGCAAUUUUUAACGUGUUCUUUUCAUUUCUUAUCAGGUUUAAAAUUCUAAACAUAAACUUUUCUGAAACCAUUAUGUUGAAACAUUGCUAAAAUAAUUAAAAAAAUACUUAGUUUAAAUAGUAACAUCAUAACUGUAUCUAUUAUUUAAUUCAUUGAAAAAUACCACAAAUAAACAAA
RNAcentral lists this long non-coding RNA (601 nucleotides) under Mytilus galloprovincialis (Mediterranean mussel). Lineage: Eukaryota; Metazoa; Mollusca; Bivalvia; Mytilida; Mytilidae. The record is from RNAcentral.